GGUGUGCAGGAAGUGGGUCCGCACCCGGACCGGGUUGAACUCCAGGCGUCCCGUGGUGUUGGUGCAGCCGUCUUUGGUGCAGCCACAAGGGAAAGACAUGCGGUCCACCUGCAGACGGACAUCACAACGCAGAGCACAGAUUUGCCAACAUGAUCGGUGUGGCGAUGUGAUCUUACAGUCCAGCAGCCCAGAGGCAACGGGAUGGUUGAGACUGUCACUGCUGUUGCCGCUGUCGCUGCAGGAAACCUCGUCGUCCUCGGACCCCUGCAGGGAGAGG
This is a long non-coding RNA of Scophthalmus maximus (turbot), 277 nucleotides long. RefSeq lists it as uncharacterized. The record is from RefSeq and is a predicted model, not a curated record. NCBI's taxonomy places the organism in Eukaryota, Metazoa, Chordata, Actinopteri, Pleuronectiformes, Scophthalmidae. The transcript has 2 exons.